GAUGUCGGAAUUAUUUAUUCAAGAAUAACUUAUUCGUGUGUAGGGAUGCAAAUGGACCCUGGUUGGUAGAGCUCCCGUCCCGAUUCGCUCCGAAUGGGGCGAUAAGUGGGAACAAAAAAUAUAGAAAAAUAUAAUCAGUUAUGAUCCACCAAGUAAAUGGAGUGGGAGGUAGGAGAUCCUUUUCUUCCUUCAAUCCGCCCCGAUCAGUCAGAAAUCUGCCAAAAAUUCGCUCCUUUC
This 237-nucleotide long non-coding RNA is filed under the name Ananas comosus (pineapple). Its description in RNAcentral is "long non-coding RNA (ACOM_LNC016258)". Lineage: Eukaryota; Viridiplantae; Streptophyta; Magnoliopsida; Poales; Bromeliaceae. The record is from RNAcentral.